ACAUGCAAGUCGAACGCUUCUUUUUCCACCGGAGCUUGCUCCACCGGAAAAAGAGGAGUGGCGAACGGGUGAGUAACACGUGGGUAACCUGCCCAUCAGAAGGGGAUAACACUUGGAAACAGGUGCUAAUACCGUAUAACAAUCAAAACCGCAUGGUUUUGAUUUGAAAGGCGCUUUCGGGUGUCGCUGAUGGAUGGACCCGCGGUGCAUUAGCUAGUUGGUGAGGUAACGGCUCACCAAGGCCACGAUGCAUAGCCGACCUGAGAGGGUGAUCGGCCACAUUGGGACUGAGACACGGCCCAAACUCCUACGGGAGGCAGCAGUAGGGAAUCUUCGGCAAUGGACGAAAGUCUGACCGAGCAACGCCGCGUGAGUGAAGAAGGUUUUCGGAUCGUAAAACUCUGUUGUUAGAGAAGAACAAGGAUGAGAGUAACUGUUCAUCCCUUGACGGUAUCUAACCAGAAAGCCACGGCUAACUACGUGCCAGCAGCCGCGGUAAUACGUAGGUGGCAAGCGUUGUCCGGAUUUAUUGGGCGUAAAGCGAGCGCAGGCGGUUUCUUAAGUCUGAUGUGAAAGCCCCCGGCUCAACCGGGGAGGGUCAUUGGAAACUGGGAGACUUGAGUGCAGAAGAGGAGAGUGGAAUUCCAUGUGUAGCGGUGAAAUGCGUAGAUAUAUGGAGGAACACCAGUGGCGAAGGCGGCUCUCUGGUCUGUAACUGACGCUGAGGCUCGAAAGCGUGGGGAGCAAACAGGAUUAGAUACCCUGGUAGUCCACGCCGUAACAAAAAAAUGCUAAAUGUUGGAAGGGUUUCCGCCCUUCAGUGCUGCAGCUAACGCAUUAAGCACUCCGCCUGGGGAGUACGACCGCAAGGUUGAAACUCAAAGGAAUUGACGGGGGCCCGCACAAGCGGUGGAGCAUGUGGUUUAAUUCGAAGCAACGCGAAGAACCUUACCAGGUCUUGACAUCCUUUGACCACUCUAGAGAUAGAGCUUCCCCUUCGGGGGCAAAGUGACAGGUGGUGCAUGGUUGUCGUCAGCUCGUGUCGUGAGAUGUUGGGUUAAGUCCCGCAACGAGCGCAACCCUUAUUGUUAGUUGCCAUCAUUCAGUUGGGCACUCUAGCAAGACUGCCGGUGACAAACC
Molecule: ribosomal RNA, 1140 nt
Filed under: Enterococcus faecium
Lineage: Bacteria; Bacillati; Bacillota; Bacilli; Lactobacillales; Enterococcaceae
Description: bacterial SSU rRNA
Rfam family: Bacterial small subunit ribosomal RNA
Source: RNAcentral